RNA transcript from Dermochelys coriacea (leatherback sea turtle), 8090 nucleotides. It is a transcript of the gene named zinc finger protein 280D, with no coding region annotated. The record is from RefSeq and is a predicted model, not a curated record. The transcript has 20 exons. NCBI's taxonomy places the organism in Eukaryota, Metazoa, Chordata, Testudines, Dermochelyidae.
AAAGAAGGCGCUUCUGUGGGGCUGACCUGCACUUUACCCAUCAGCCAGCGCGCCGGGUUCAGCAAACCCCCCCCCAGUAGCGGCGGCUGCAGUAGCAGGAGGCUGAGGUUGGGCGCCGCGGCUAGGCAAUGUGAGGAUCCUCCGCCGGAGCCGCCCCCUCCCAUCCCCCAGUCAGUCAGGGAGGGAGGGAGCGAGCCUGCCGCGGCCUCUUCACGCGCGCAGCACGUACCAAAAUGGCAGAACUGUUUAUGGAAUGUGAGGAAGAGGAGCUAGAACCAUGGCAAAAGAGAGUGAAAGAAGUUGAGGAGGAUGAUGAUGAUGAUGAUGAUGAUGAGCCAAUCUUCAUUGGGGAGAUUUCAAGCUCCAAACCGGCCAGUACAUAUAUAUUGAACAGAGUCAACCUCAGCUCAUCACGAACGGGGAUACAGAAUGGUGCACCUAGUAGAGGUACAGUUACUACGUUCAAGCCUGCCAGUCAACACUAUACAACUCCUGCAUCCAAUCCGGGUGCUGUCACUGCUUCACCAGUCUUUCAGUCUGUAUCCAGACCUGCAACUAGCUCUGUAGCUGUUCAACCGUUGUCUAGACCAGUGACUGUUUCAGGAACUUCACAGACGCUACAGAGACCUGUUGCUGGAUGUUUAUCAGCUCAGCAGAUACCCGGGUCAAAUUCUGGAAUAUCACAGCCUGUUAGCAGACCUGUAACCGUUCCAGUAACGACACAGCCAGUAUCAAAAAAUAUUACAAUUCCUGUAAUGGGUCAACCCGUACCGAGGCCAGUGGCAACAGUAACAGCACAACCUAUAAUAUUAAAUCAGGGUUAUAUUGCGAGUUCUCCACAAGCUGUACCAAAUAAUACUUCGGGCAUACUGUUCGGCUUGAGACAGAAAUCAGGAGUUCCUCACUACCAGAGUGGAGCAGUAGUGACUAUGACAGGUCUGAAUGAGAGUGGUUUUGUGUCUAAGCGUCCAGCUACUUCUGAAGCCAACAGUGUUACUCCAAAAAAGGCCAAGCCUAAUGAGGUUGGUGCUGGAAGCAAUUCAACUGUAUCACCUUCAGUUAAAUCUCCAACAGUAACACCAUCACAAAAUGUUUCUUCAAAAGGUACUAAUAUUACAUCAAACAAUGUUAAAAAUGGAGCACCUUUUCCACGAGCUUGUCCAAAAUGCAAUAUUCACUUCAAUCUUAUGGAUCCUUUAAAAAAUCACAUGAAGUAUUGUUGUCCAGAUAUGAUAAAUAACUUCUUUCUGGGAACGUCCAAAACAGAAUGUUCAAAUACACCAAGAAAGACUGCUGAAUCUGAGAAAGGAAAAUUGAUCAUGUUAGUUAAUGACUUUUAUUAUGGAAAGCAUGAAGGUGAUGUCCAGCGGGUACAACAGGAACAGAAAACUCAUACAACUUUUAAGUGCUUCAGCUGUUUGAAAGUUCUUAAAAAUAACAUAAGGUUUAUGAACCACAUGAAACACCACUUAGAGCUCGAGAAGCAGAGCAGUGAAAGUUGGGAAAGCCACACCACCUGCCAGCACUGUUAUCGUCAGUUUCCCACACCUUUCCAGCUGCAGUGCCACAUUGAAAGUACACACACCCCUUAUGAGUCAUCUACUAUUUGUAAAAUCUGUGAAUUAUCCUUUGAAACAGAGCAAGUUCUUUUGCAACAUAUGAAGGACAAUCAUAAGCCAGGUGAAAUGCCAUAUGUUUGCCAGGUGUGCAAUUACAGAUCAUCAGCUUUUUCAGAUGUAGAAACCCAUUUUAGAACUGUACAUGAAAACACAAAACAUUUGCUUUGUCCAUUUUGCCUCAAAGUUAUUAAAAUUGGAGCACCAUACAUGCAUCAUUAUAUGAGGCAUCAGAAAAAAGGAAUAUACCGUUGUACUAAGUGCAGAUUGCAAUUUUUGACUUGCAAAGAAAAAAUGGAUCACAAGACUCAGCAUCACCGGACGUUCAGGAAACCUAAGCAAUUAGAGGGAUUGCCUCCUGGAACUAAAGUUACUAUUCGAGCUUCUGUUGGACCUCUUCAAUCUGGAACAUCUGCCACAUCUUUUAGCACAAGCACCUCCACAUUUCAGUUAUCUCCCAAAACUAAAAAUACCAACACUAAAAAUCAAAACAAAUCUAAUACAAAUAAAUCAAAAUUAAAAUCAUCAACUAUACAGAAGAAGCAAAACACAUUUACUAGCAGCAGCAGCAAAAAAAAAAAAAAAGUUGCUAAUACAGCAUUGCAUAAUCUAAGGUAUCGUUUGGGAGUUCAUAAAUGCAUUGAAUGUUACUCAGAAAUAAAAGAUUUUGCAAGUCACUUUCCAGCAUAUGUCCAUUGCAGCUUAUGCAGAUACAAUACUAGCUGUAGCAAAGCCUAUGUGAAUCACAUGAUGAGCUUUCAUAGUGCUCGUCCAAGUAAAAGAUUUUGGAUCUAUAAGAAGCAUUCAGAAGAACUAAGGGGUGUUACUGUCGUGUGUCUUAAUUGUGAUUUCCUAACUGAUGUUUCUGGCUUAGAUAAGAUGGCCACACAUUUGAGUGAAAGACAUACUCAUACUUGUCAAGUUAUUAUAGAGAAUGUUUCCCUAGGUUGCCCAGCUGCUGAACGCAUUUCUGAGUUAAAGGCAACUUCUCUCUCUCUGGUGGAGAUUUCAAAGUCUGAGGAUUCAGCAGCGUGGAAUUUUCUGUGGAAUUCACCCAAUUGCCCUGCAGAAAUGUGCUCUAGAACCUCUGCUUUCAUUUAAAAAAAAAACUAAAUUUCUAGCCCUUAUGAUUUUUUUUCAUAGAUUCCAAGGCCAGAAUGGACCUCUGUGAUCAUCUAGUCUGACCUCCUGUAUAGUACUUCCCCAAAUUAAUUCAUAGAGCAUAUAUUUUAGAAAAACAUCCAAUCUAGAUUUUAAAAGUGCCAGUGAUGGAGAAUCCACCAUGACCCUUGGUAAAUUGUUCCAGUGGUUACCUUCACUGUUAAAAAUUUUCACCUUAUUUCCAGUCUAAUUGUCUAGCUUCAACUUCCAGGUGAUGAUUGCAGAAGAUGCAUUACACUGAAAAUAUGAACAAAGUGCAGACCAUUUCUUUGAGGUUUGCAGGGAGCCUGAAGCAGCCCUCAGAAAUAUGACCUGCCCCUUCAGCUUCAUCAGGGCCUCUUGGAUUCUGAUUCUAUAGCUGUGGAAUUGGUUAUUUUUCCCCAAUGGCAUGAAAUGUUUUAAAUUUUACUGCAGCCAGGUGCUUGACAUUUUGCUCCAUAUACCUGCUCUGCCUGGAUCUGACUGCAGCUGUAUUUUGCUCUCUAGUUUUUCCCUGUCAGGAGGAGUUAACUGGAUUAUAGUGCAUGCUUUCUGCUCUGUUUGAUAAUAUUAGAUAACUGGGUCAGAGACCAGAGCUGGAGUCUAGUUUACAGCCUGGAUCUGGGGGAACCAAAAGCAUAGGCUGGUCAGUUAGGUUGCCUUGAGAACAUCAUAGGGAGAUGAGUUGCUGAAGUUAUCUAUAAGCUCACCCCUUCCUAGGUAGGCAUGGGUGGGGAAGGAGGUUCUGUAGCAGGCCAGCUGUACAUCAUCAUGGGAUCCGAGGCAUGGAGAGUGGAGCCAAGUCACCUACAGGACAUAGUGAAAAUCCAUAGUUGAAGAUAAUCUUUGUUGGAAAUAAUUUUAGGUCAGUGAGUAUGAGCCAUCAUUGUAUGGUUUUGUUUUUUGUUCUUUUUUUUUAUGAGUGAAGGGAUCAGAAUGAAGGCUAUUUAGAACAGAUUAACAUUGCCAUGGAAUUUGAAGAUGUUUGCUGUAGAAUUUGGUCUCACUGUAGCAGAGUAAACAGAUCCCCGUAUAUCAUAUGUACCGUAUGUUAGACUACAAAAUAUAGAUACAAGUAGUAUACAAUACAAAAACAAAAAAGAAAAAACGAUUUCACUAAAAAAAACCUCAAUACAAAUAAUAGAAAUUUAGGAUACUUUUCUGAACAUUACACAUUAACAAUUCUUCAUUUUAAAUUCAAAAUCCAUUUAUAAUUUUGAACAGUGACCAUUAUGAAUUAAAUUGCCUUAGUCUAUCAUUUUAGGCCCUGACCCUUCAUUGACUUCAAUGGGGCUUUGCAUGGGCUUACGGGUCUGCAUUAUGGCAGAUGCUUUUAUUAGACUACUUUGGCCAUUCCCACAUACCAUCAUUGGAGCACUCUUUUUUACAAUUAGUUAUUUUAUACAUGAAAGAAUUAGCUCGUUUUUAUUGUGCCUUCCAUUUUUGUGCCUUUUAUUGUGCUGAAAAAUCCCUUAUCCUUUUAAGAUAUAAUAGUGGACAAUAUGUUCUCCUAUAAAGCUACCACACUAAGCACUUACAACCAGAGCCUUACAGUUUUUUAUGAGACAAAUUUGUAUGUCAGUCUUCCUUAUUUAAUACAUCUCCAAUAGAUACUGUCCAGGAAGUCUUGUGUAAUACUUUAAAUUGCAUUAACUUCACUUUUGUUUCCACUGAUGGUCAACGAAUCUGUAGUUCAGUCCUGAUAUUCUUCCUCCAAAUGAACAACUGUGGGGACUUAGUUCUGCAGACCCUACUCAAGUGAGAUGUGAGUGGGUCUACUUAUAUGAAUAAGGGUCACAAAAAUGUGUGCUAAAAUGUGAUCUACUUUUUCUUAACUUGGAAGACUGGUUGCAAGUGUCUGUACUAAGCUAUCCACUGGAUCCCUACUAACUUGCGGAUCUGGGGAAAUAGCAGUGUAAAAUUCUUUCUGCUGCAUUGCAGUAUAAUCAGUUGGUCAUGGAUGUAAAAUAAAAAUAUCAUUAAUAUUACAGAAAAAUUCAAGACCUAGUUUGCCUGAAGGAAAAACAGAAACAUCAACUUUUGAAAGACCACUUCUGAGGUAUGUCUGAUACUCUGACAUUUUACUUUCACUUAAAAUGCUUGCUUAAUAAUGGGAACUGAAUGGCUCAGGUUUAGCAAUGACUACGAAGUUUCUCCUUUGCUGGAUCACUGGUUCAAAUCCAGCCCAGGGCAGUAGUAAAUCAUUUGAAUCUUGGUACAGUAGACAAUUGUGUAUCAUAUUUACUAGCUUCUUCCUGACUCCCCAUUUGUAGCAAAUUUCUGCUUUGUAAUGACACAGCUAUUCAAAUUUGAAAAUAGUUCAGGGGCCUAGAGGAAAUGAGUUGAUUGUCUCAGUCUAGUUCCUAGGGUACAGAUCUCAACAUGAUGAAAACCUAUGAUGAUAGAUUUUUAAAAUAUUGAAAACUGGGACAAGGCACCUCUGGUAUCGAUCAUUUUUUAAUCCUCCAAAUUUUGUUGAUCUGUUUGAUUUUAUGCCAAUAUAUAACAUAGCAAUUGUGUUUGUUGACAGUAUCCUCCUGGCGAUUGGCAGUGGUCAGGACUCCAUAUUGAUCCUUUUUAGUUUCAUCAACAGCCCUUGAUACCAUUGCUCAAGUCACCUUGCUCUCUGACUCAUCAAUUGUCUAGUCUUUUCCCAUGUUUCAUAAUCCAGCCAAAGUUUGAACCUGGCUCAAUUGUUGGGCUUUUGAGUGAGAACUCAAGCAUGACCAUAAAACCCAUUCCCUUGUUAUCUCUUCUCUCAAACAAGAGGGUUGUUUACUUUUCCUUGGGACAGACUAUAGGAAUCUUCUCAGAAAAUGAAAAAUCCCCAAAUAUCCUAAAUAAAACAGAGAAGAUCAAAUGAACUCAUAAAUGUUUCAAAAAGCAAGUAUAUGCAGAGUUGAUUCCCUAGUCUCCCCUAGCUAGAGCCAAAUCCUUAAAAUUACAAGAGAGAUUUAAAAACAAUAACAGCAACACUUCAAAUUUCUAGAGUUCUAUAACUCUCUUUCUCUAAGCUGUUAGUCUUAGACUCUCAGUGUCUCUUUAACUUAUGUCAGCCCCUAAUUUUGGAUUCCUUUACUGUCAAGACUGGCUACUUUAGGGCCACAUGUCAACUUGCUCAUUACCAUAGUGCGUUCUUGGUAUUCUCAUCUUGACAUGAAUGGUUAUGCAAGCAUACAACUCCAGGAAAUGAAUACUUGUUUUCAUUGUACGGUAGCUAGCUGGCUAACUGUAUUUACCGAAAACCUUCCUUCUCUUUGGAAAAUUGCAGUUUUUCCUCUUUUUUCCUCACAUCUACAGUUAGCUGUUUCUUUACAUGCACAUUUGUCAAAAUAGCUUACAGGAAUAUUUCACAGGAGUGUUAGUGUUUCAUUCCCUGAAAUAUCAGACAAAAAGCUACUCUUUUUCAGCCACAGCCUUACCAACAAAUUUCAUAUUUAUUUCUCAAUACCAAAUAGUAUUUUUGACUCGAUGUCUUAAUUUGUCACAAACAAUUAGGUUUUGUUGACUCAUCUGCAAUCCUUGAUCGGGGUAAAUGGUAUUGGUUUAGAGGCAUUGUAUGCCUUUUUAUCUGAGAUGUCACCAUUUGUUUUGGGUAACUAAAUUUCUUUGCUGCAAGAGGUCUUUUUGAGUGAACUUGCAAAAUUAUUUUUAAUCUUACACCUUUCAGUUCAACAUGUAUAAAUAAAUUAGUGGUAAGAUAUAUAAAUUUGUCAGUGUGCUGAUGGCACACAGCUGUAUCUAUUUCUUCAUCAGUAUUAAGUGAUGCAUAAUCUGCCUUCCAGCGCCUGGCCAAAAUUGAGCUUGGAUGAAAGCAAAUUCAUAGGGGUUCAGUCUGGAAAAGGUGGAGAAUUUGAUGCUUGAGGGAUAUGUGAGUUUUUAAGGGCUUGGGGUGAUGGUUCUUGCCCAUUUAUUGAGGGUAUAUUCACAUUUUAAGAGGUUCUCACUUUGGACAUGUUCUUAUACUCCUAUGUGCUCUUGGAAUCCCAGGUGGAUCAGUAUGGAGCAUCUUUUUUCAUCAUGUUGUAGCUAUAGCUGGUCCAGAAUGAGGGUGCUAGCUUGUUAGGCAGUAUUAGCUAUAGCAAAUAUAUUACACCAUUUCCCCAGGAACUGUCAUAGCUUUCAUUUAACUUGUGAAUACAAUUAUAGGCAUUGACUUCAAUCUGUAAACCUGUAUAUGACUUAAGUCUUGAUUAUCUGAGACAAUCUUUCUUUCCUUGUUCCAGCAGUGUGGUCAAGGUCAGCUGGAGCAAUCAUGCUAAGAAACCCUAGAUUUUAAGUAUCAAGAUACAGAUGAUAUGGUAUUCUGAAUGCAGAGUCCUUAACUCUGGAACAUGUUGCAUCCACUAGCUCGUGCAAACCUCUUUUCUCAAAUCUUGCCUGGAAGAGUUGGGGAAGGGUAGGAAUUUGUUUUGGGAGAAGGUCCUUUCCUUGAAGAAUCCUUAAACAAGAAGCAAAAAUUGUAUGUUACAUAUUUUAUGUAGAGAUUUAAACAUGUUACGGUGCAUUUUAGUAAAACGAAAUAUAAAUUUAACCUUUUUUGGCAAUCUCAGUAGAGGAAGGGUUUUAAUGGGUGAGUUCUUAGCCCUUGAAUGAAUCCCUCCAGAGUAUGAAUGAAACACAUUGGUGUGGCAGUGUCGUGUUGCUUACGUUACAAUUGGCUCUGCUGCUUCUAGUGUCUGGAUAAAUAUUGUUUGGUUGCUGAAUUCUGAUCAGUUUUAUAUCCUGCACAAGAAAGUUCACUUUGCUUUUGUUUUUUUAAUAAAUAUUCUUGGUUUAGCUUCUUAAGUGAAAGUAAAACUUGAAAGCAGACCAACUUUUCAGUUUUGUAAUAACUAAUACCUGGGCUAGAAUAAUACUGCAGCUUUUAAUCAGAAUCCCCUCCUCACCCCCCAGCCCCCAAAAAUCCCUCUUAUUCUCUCUCGCACAUCUCUUGGCUGUAUAUCAGAGUUCAGGAAUUGUUUUCAAUUUUAAGUUUUAGAUUUUUAAAAGCUAAAUUGGGAGUAAUGGUAGCCUUUUAAAUACAAAUUAAGCUUGAAAAUAGUCUAAUGGUAGUUCCUUCAUCUUCCUUUUUAAUCUAUCCAUCACAUUCAAAGUUUCUGGCAGUCUGGGCUUUUUUCAGAUUUUAGUUUUCUUUUAGGGUGCUAGGAGUUAAAUAAAACCUUUUCAACAAACUAAACCUCUGAAUGGAGACCAGAAUUCCCUCUGUGCAAGUAUAUGAUGGACGUUGGUGUUCCUAUAACAAAUGGGAAGCAAUGUUCAGAAGUGUGUCCUACUUGAAUCAUCAGCUAUCAGAACCAAAAAUAUGAGCAGAUAAAUUUAGGGAUUAGACUU